RNAcentral lists this unclassified non-coding RNA (348 nucleotides) under soil metagenome. RNAcentral's name for it is "partial contains 5.8S ribosomal RNA, internal transcribed spacer 2, and large subunit ribosomal RNA". The stretch from base 1 to 120 matches the Rfam family "5.8S ribosomal RNA", at positions 35 to 154 of the family's 154-position model. The record is from RNAcentral.
GAUGAAGAACGUAGCGGAAUGCGAUAAGUAAUGUGAAUUGCAGAAUUCAGUGAAUCAUCGAAUCUUUGAACGCACAUUGCGCCCGCCAGUAUUCUGGCGGGCAUGCCUGUCUGAGCGUCAUUUCAACCCUCAUGCCCCUAGGGCGUGGUGUUGGGGAUCGGCCAAAGCCCGCGAGGGACGGCCGGCCCCUAAAUCUAGUGGCGGACCCGUCGUGGCCUCCUCUGCGAAGUAGUGAUAUUCCGCAUCGGAGAGCGAUGAGCCCCUGCCGUUAAACCCCCAACUUUCCAAGGUUGACCUCAGAUCAGGUAGGAAUACCCGCUGAACUUAAGCAUAUCAAUAAGCGGAGGA